Molecule: long non-coding RNA, 634 nt
Filed under: Selaginella moellendorffii
Lineage: Eukaryota; Viridiplantae; Streptophyta; Lycopodiopsida; Selaginellales; Selaginellaceae
Description: long non-coding RNA (SMOE_LNC000741)
Source: RNAcentral
AGAGAGUUCGGUCCUUGGGACGAAAACGCUGCCAUGGAAGGGGCCGGCUUGAAGUCGAGCACUGUCCUUGCCGGGACAAUCUUCACCAGGGGGAAGCUGCCAUUUUGUCGAAGAUAAGGUGAGUCUGGUUUGUCUUGCAGAGAGAAACUCUUCACUUACUUCGUGGAGUUUAUGUAGGUAAGGACAGCGUUGGCAUUGUCCGCGUUGAUGGCAGUCCCCGGCAGCAUGUAUGCGUCGACCGAGACUUCAUUAGCCUGAGCAGCAGAGUUUCCGAGGAUAAAUCCCGCGGCGCCGGCUCGAAUGGCCUCUUGACUCUUCCCGACGCGGGUCCCGAGUCCUCUCAAGCAGAUCACCACCUUUCCGGCAACCUUGGAUGCGUCCAAAGUAUCCGGAAGGCACUGGCUGGAACAAGUAAGGAACUUUAGUCGUGUGCUGGUGGGAGAGAAGCUUUACCUGGCAUUCGCGACAGGUACGCUCGAGUUGCCAGCUCUUCCACCAUCGAUGAGCUCGUACCAGUUCGAUUCCGACAGUGACUUUGGAGCAAUACUCUUCCCCUGCAAAAAUGGAUACCCCGCUGUAAGGAUGGCGACAGACGAGCUAAUCGCGACGAGACGACGAGCCGGGAAAAAUCCAG